Roridomyces roridus is the source of this 94-nucleotide non-coding RNA. NCBI's taxonomy places the organism in Eukaryota, Fungi, Basidiomycota, Agaricomycetes, Agaricales, Mycenaceae. The record is from the annotation of a GenBank genome assembly.
GCCCGCUUGGCUUAGGGGUAAAGCGUAUCACUCGUAUCGCAUAAAACCAACGUCUGCGAUGAUAAGAUCAGUCGUUCGAAUCGGCUAGUGGGCA